GUAAGAAGUAAGAUCUUUGCUCACCAGGUAACUAUAAUUUUUUUCUUGUUGAGUAAAUACAUCCAUUGUCGACGAGGAGAAAUCAAGCACUGGCCGCCGUGGCAAGGAGGGGUGAUCACUGCCUCACCAAGAAACGUGUGAUUGUCUCACUUGCGGUCAAUUCGAAAGCUGUUGCACGCGAGGCAAAAGCCGCCUUGUCGGUUGACGCUCACUGCCUCUUUGCUUGGCACUGCAGCUAGUGUCAGUCUACCAUGUUGUGGUUGAAAGAUCUCAAGUUCCUUAAUUUUACAAACUCAUACAAGCUAGUAAAUCUAUGCUUGCUAAAAUGUUUAUACGUGUAGUAAAUCUAUGCUUGAUAAAAAGUUUACACAACUUUUCUAAUCUCAAAUACCUCUAUUUUAUUUCACUUAUACAAGCUUUGUUGAGUGAAAUAAGUUCAUCUUAAAAUUCUUUUGUGGUAAGGCUAUAAACAUGAAAGACAUGCAGUUCAUGGCAUAAGGGAUAAGUAGAUGUGUUCUUUAGGGGAAGGGGUUUUUCGGAAUUAGGGGAAGGGAUUUUUUUUAGAAUUAGGGGAAGGGAUAUACAAAACUCUUCGAUCGGGUUCACUCUUGCAUACCAGUUACUCUUGACCAUGAAUUAUUUAUUUAUUGUUUAGUGAGCAUUUGACCUUCAAUACAUUUUUAAAUCCUUAAGUUUGAGUUAUAUUUCUUUUAAAUUGUGUUAUGACAUAAAAAAAUUAUUUGGUUGAAUGUAAUGCAUAUGAAGGGAAGAAUUUCAUUUUGUUUUUAGAGAAAAUGCACUGCAUUUAUCACUAAUAAAAUCACAAGGUGACAAAAAAGUUAAUGAUAUUUUGUUUCUCUCUUUAAUUUUCAUAUUAUAUUUUUAAAAAAAUGAAAAAUGAAAAAUAAAAAUACCAAUUCAAACAAGGUUUAACUAUUCCAAACAAGGCUUCACAGAAACACACUUGUUUUCCUUCUCUAACAUCAAAUUGAAUACAAAGAAGCCCUCGUAAGUGGUUCACAAUCAAGGAAUGCCUUCUCUCUAUAGGAUCACACAUUUUCCUUUUUUGACGUUGAAUUGAACAUGAGGGGUUGCAUAUGUUUUUCUUCUCUGAUGUCAAAUUGAACAUGAAGCGAGCCUCCUAUCUAUAAAUAUUUAGUUUUAACUACUUUUCAUAUUGCCUAGCUAAAUAAUAUUGGAGUUUUUAGAUUGAUUUGUUACAUAUCUAAUUGCAGAAUGACUUGUUGGAAAAGAAUGUCAAAGGAGAGUUCAAAUCUUCUGGAUGAAUGAUGUAUUAACCACUGUCUUAGGAAACCAAGAACACUAUGGACGAGUUAAAGGGUAUAUUUAGAUUUUGCCAUUACCGAGAAUGACUACCUUGCACUUACCUUUACAAAUACUUGAAGAAUGACAAUAGAGAUGAGCAUGUCUCAUUUAUGGAUCCUGGUCACAUAUCUACAUGCGGUAUGGGCAAAAAAGAUAAUAAAUUGUCACAACAUUCUAUUGCUCAGUUGGAAGCAUGGAACAAAGAUAACAUAUACUUCAUCCCAUACAAUACUAGGAAUUGAGACCUUGUUUAGCAAACUAUUAUGACCAAGGUCAAGAUAUACAAUGCAUCAAGGAGUAUUUCAAAAGGAUUAUGUUUUAAACAAUUGACAGUAUGUAUUGUGACUAAGUAUUUAGACAUCAAUUAAUAAUUCUUAUUAUUUGGAUUUUGACUUCUUGCAUGACAUUUUCAAUUUCAUUAGGGUAAACUUAAACAAAAUG
Zingiber officinale is the source of this 1767-nucleotide long non-coding RNA. RefSeq lists it as uncharacterized. The record is from RefSeq and is a predicted model, not a curated record. The transcript has 4 exons. NCBI's taxonomy places the organism in Eukaryota, Viridiplantae, Streptophyta, Magnoliopsida, Zingiberales, Zingiberaceae.